Molecule: ribosomal RNA, 869 nt
Filed under: uncultured bacterium
Lineage: Bacteria
Description: bacterial SSU rRNA
Rfam family: Bacterial small subunit ribosomal RNA
Source: RNAcentral
CAUGCAAGUCGAACGGAGCUUAGAGAGCUUGCUUUUUAAGCUUAGUGGCGAACGGGUGAGUAACGCGUGAGUAACCUGCCCUAGAGUGGGGGACAACAGUUGGAAACGACUGCUAAUACCGCAUAAGCCCACGGUGCCGCAUGGCACUGAGGGAAAAGGAUUUAUUCGCUUUAGGAUGGACUCGCGUCCAAUUAGCUAGUUGGUGAGGUAACGGCCCACCAAGGCGACGAUUGGUAGCCGGACUGAGAGGUUGAACGGCCACAUUGGGACUGAGACACGGCCCAGACUCCUACGGGAGGCAGCAGUGGGGGAUAUUGCACAAUGGGGGAAACCCUGAUGCAGCGACGCCGCGUGGAGGAAGAAGGUUUUCGGAUUGUAAACUCCUGUCGUUAGGGACGAUAAUGACGGUACCUAACAAGAAAGCACCGGCUAACUACGUGCCAGCAGCCGCGGUAAAACGUAGGGUGCAAGCGUUGUCCGGAAUUACUGGGUGUAAAGGGAGCGCAGGCGGGAAGACAAGUUGGAAGUGAAAACCGUGGGCUCAACCCAUGAAUUGCUUUCAAAACUGUUUUUCUUGAGUAGUGCAGAGGUAGAUGGAAUUCCCGGUGUAGCGGUGGAAUGCGUAGAUAUCGGGAGGAACACCAGUGGCGAAGGCGGUCUACUGGGCACCAACUGACGCUGAGGCUCGAAAGCAUGGGUAGCAAACAGGAUUAGAUACCCUGGUAGUCCACACCGUAAACGAUGAUUACUAGGUGUUGGAGGAUUGACCCCUUCAGUGCCGCAGUUAACACAAUAAGUAAUCCACCUGGGGAGUACGACCGCAAGGUUGAAACUCAAAGGAAUUGACGGGGGGCCCGCACAAGCAGUGG